Molecule: transfer RNA, 360 nt
Filed under: uncultured Microcystis sp.
Lineage: Bacteria; Bacillati; Cyanobacteriota; Cyanophyceae; Chroococcales; Microcystaceae
Description: partial 16S-23S ribosomal RNA intergenic spacer
Rfam family: tRNA (bases 135-208)
Source: RNAcentral
AAAGGGAGACCUAAUUCAGGUAAAAGACGAAAAAAAGUAGUCGCUACCAAGGAUCAAUCCCAAAAGGUCGGAGCGAGGCGAAAUUGGCUUUCAAACUAGGUUCUGGGUUCAAACAAGACCUGAAUCAGGAACAAGGGCUAUUAGCUCAGGUGGUUAGAGCGCACCCCUGAUAAGGGUGAGGUCCCUGGUUCGAGUCCAGGAUGGCCCACCUGCACAGGUGGCAAAAACAAGAGAAGCGAGGAAUCAGCACCUUAUCUUACUUAUAUAGUAAGAGAGAAUGCUGGCUCUGAGUAAAGAGUCCAGAGGAACCUUGAAAACUGCAUAGAGCUAGGUGAAAAAGCCAAAAAAGAAGACCGCAAG